UCUUGGCUCAAAAUUGUUAUG
This 21-nucleotide non-coding RNA is filed under the name Caenorhabditis elegans. The record is from RNAcentral. Lineage: Eukaryota; Metazoa; Nematoda; Chromadorea; Rhabditida; Rhabditidae.